This is a microRNA precursor of Pan troglodytes (chimpanzee), 87 nucleotides long. The record is from Ensembl. NCBI's taxonomy places the organism in Eukaryota, Metazoa, Chordata, Mammalia, Primates, Hominidae.
UAUUAGAUUGGUGCAAAAGUAAUUGCGGUUUUUGCCAUUACUUUCCAUGGCAAAAACCGCAAUUACUUUUGCACCUACCUAAUACUU